AUUAAAGGCGAGCGCCGCCACUGCCA
RNAcentral lists this non-coding RNA (26 nucleotides) under Rattus norvegicus (Norway rat). The record is from RNAcentral. Lineage: Eukaryota; Metazoa; Chordata; Mammalia; Rodentia; Muridae.